This 192-nucleotide unclassified non-coding RNA is filed under the name uncultured fungus. RNAcentral describes it as "sequence contains ITS1". The record is from RNAcentral. Lineage: Eukaryota; Fungi.
UUAACUAUUAUAUAGUACUCAGACGACACUAAUAAACAGAGUUUGGGGUCCUCUGGCGAGCACUCACCAGCGGAAGCCGGUGGCCGAGGCGGCUCGCCAAAGCAACAAAGGUUUAAUAACAUAGGGUUGGAGAGUCACCCCGUGAGGGCGAUGUUCUCUGUAAUGAUCCCUCCGCAGGUUCACCUACGGAGA